AAAUGGCGGUUUUUACUGAGUGUUAUUUAUCUGCAAAAAAGAAAAGAAAUGAGUCAACAAUAUUUUGCUGAAUCAUUAAAUCCAAAAAAAAAAAACUGUGUAAUAGAAGGACAAAACGAUGUCCUGAAAUAAAACUAAACUAAUACCACCUAUUUUUCUCAAUAUAGCUCCAAAUACCGAUCAGUACCACCACCACCAAUAGCACUAUCAGCACCAAACAUAAUAUCAAAAUUGAAAAACAAAAAUCAAACUUUAUAAAUCUUAGUUCUUCUAGCUAGAGACAGUUCACUAGCUCCAAACUAACCCAACACAACCAAAAUCCCCUUACUUUACUCUUGCAUCUUGUCACCAACCAAACAAAACCUCAAGUCCAAAGUAAACUCAAAAAAAAAAAGAAAACAAUGAGCACACUUAAAAUCCCCUAGAGUAGUAAUUGACUGGAACACAGUUGGUUAGUGACGACCUUGUAGAAACUGAAUCGAAUAAUAUUUACAGUUCUAGACACUUCGAUUCAUAGUUAAGAAAGAGAAAGAGUACUGGGUGUCUGCAAUUCGCGAUUGAGAUAGAACUAUAGAGAAGAAGAAGAAGACGACCAAUUUUUUCUUCAUAAUUUUCAAUUAGCUUUUCUUGUUUUGGUUGCAUCGAAAGUUUCAAGCACUUCUUUGCUUUGCUUUGUUUCUGGGUUCCUUUUAUUUAUUUAUUCUUUGUUGUGUUUUAGUGUGACUGUGUUGUGUGUGUUUUUGGGUCUCUCCCUUAAUUAGUUGAACUUGAAAGCGCAUCUCUCUCUCUUUCUUUUUUUAUUUAUUUUUUCAUAGUUUGGUGCGACUGUGUUGUGUGUAUUUUUAGGUCUCUCCCUUAAUUAGUUGAACUUGAAAGCGCGUCUCUCUCUCUCUCUCUCUCCUCUUUCCUUGUGCCAUCAAAUAACUGAAACGAAGUUUAAUUUUUCACUUGAAGGAAGACCUAUCAAAGAUUUGAGCCCCACUUCUAGCAGUCGUUGCCACCGACACUGAUUUGGUGUUGUCUAAGCUUGUAUGCCAAGAUUACAGACUAAUCACGAUUAAAGAUACUAACUUUAUUACUGCNNN
This 1085-nucleotide long non-coding RNA is filed under the name Ricinus communis (castor bean). RNAcentral describes it as "long non-coding RNA (RCOM_LNC002025)". The record is from RNAcentral. Lineage: Eukaryota; Viridiplantae; Streptophyta; Magnoliopsida; Malpighiales; Euphorbiaceae.